GACGAACGCUGGCGGCGUGCUUAACACAUGCAAGUCGAACGGAAAGGCCCUGCUUUUGUGGGGUGCUCGAGUGGCGAACGGGUGAGUAACACGUGAGUAACCUGCCCUUGACUUUGGGAUAACUUCAGGAAACUGGGGCUAAUACCGGAUAGGAGCUCCUGCUGCAUGGUGGGGGUUGGAAAGUUUCGGCGGUUGGGGAUGGACUCGCGGCUUAUCAGCUUGUUGGUGGGGUAGUGGCUUACCAAGGCUUUGACGGGUAGCCGGCCUGAGAGGGUGACCGGCCACAUUGGGACUGAGAUACGGCCCAGACUCCUACGGGAGGCAGCAGUGGGGAAUAUUGCACAACGGGCGGAAGCCUGAUGCAGCAACGCCGCGUGCGGGAUGACGGCUUUCGGGUUGUAAACCGCUUUCGCCUGUGACGAAGCGUGAGUGACGGUAAUGGGUAAAGAAGCACCGGCUAACUACGUG
RNAcentral lists this ribosomal RNA (468 nucleotides) under uncultured bacterium. RNAcentral describes it as "partial 16S ribosomal RNA". It matches the Rfam family "Bacterial small subunit ribosomal RNA", at positions 28 to 507 of the family's 1533-position model. The record is from RNAcentral.